This is a non-coding RNA of Chroicocephalus ridibundus (black-headed gull), 363 nucleotides long. NCBI's taxonomy places the organism in Eukaryota, Metazoa, Chordata, Aves, Charadriiformes, Laridae. The record is from the annotation of a RefSeq genome assembly.
AUGUCCUGCCAGGGCUCCGGCUUCACCUUCAGCAGCUUUGGCAUGGACUGGGUGCGACAGGCGCCCGGGAAGGGGUUCGAGUGGGUCACGAGUAUUUACAGUUGGGGUAGCGCCUACUACGCGCCUUCGGUCGAGGGGCGCUUCACCAUCUCCAGGGACAACUCCCAGAGCACGGUCACGCUGCAGAUGAACAGCCUCCGGGACGACGACACGGCCACCUACUACUGCGCGAAAAGUACUGGUGGUGAUUAUGGUGCUGGUAAUGCUGAUGGUGAUGCUUAUGGUGGUGGCACCAACCCUUUCUCCAUGGAACAACACCCCUGUGCCGUGUCCCCAGAUCGACCCUUCUUGGCCCAAACCUGA